AGUCUGGUGCCAGCAGCCGCGGUAAUUCCAGCUCUCAAAAUGCAUAGAAUCAUUGCUGCGGUUAAAAAGCUCGUAGUUGGAUCUGUGCUGGCGGGUCGGUCCACCUUCGGGUGCGCACUGAUUUCGCCGGCUUUCCUGCUGUAUUUGGCCCUGUGCCUUUCAACGGGUGCAGUGUCCAGUGCAGCAAGUUUACCUUGAACAAAUCAGAGUGCUUCAAACAGGCGUUUCGCUUGAAUGUUCGUGCAUGGAAUAAUAGAAGAGAAUUUCGGUUCUAUUUUAUUGGUUUUAUAGACUGAGAUAAUGGUUAACAGAGACUAACGGGGGCAUUAGUAUUGCUACGUGAGAGGUGAAAUUCUUGGACCGUAGCAAGACUGACUACAGCGCGAGCAUUUGCCAAGAAAGUCUUCAUUAAUCAAGAACGAAAGUCAGAGGUUCGAAGGCGAUCAGAUACCGCCCUAGUUCUGACCGUAAACGAUGCCAACUAGUGAUCCGCCGGUGGAACAUUCGCCCUGGUGGGGAACUUCCCGGAAACGAAAGUCUUCCGGUUCCGGGGGAAGUAUGGUUGCAAAGCUGAAACUUAAAGGAAUUGACGGAAGGGCACCACCAGGAGUGGAGCCUGCGGCUUAAUUUGACUCAACACGGGAAAACUCACCCGGCCCGGACACCGUAAGGAUUGACAGAUUGAUAGCUCUUUCAUGAUUCGGUGGAUGGUGGUGCAUGGCCGUUCUUAGUUCGUGGAGCGAUUUGUCUGGUUUAUUCCGAUAACGAGCGAGACUCUGGCCUACUAAAUAGUUUACACAUUGCUUCUGUGUGCAUAACUUCUUAGAGGGAUUUUCGGUGUUCAGCCGCAAGAAAUUGAGCAAUAACAGGUCUGUGAUGCCCUUAGAUGUCCGGGGCUGCACGCGCGCUACACUGGCAAAAUCAGCGUGCUUGUCCUUCCCCGAAAGGGGUUGGUAAACUCGUGAAAAUUUGCCGUGAUUGGGAUCGGAAAUUGCAAUUAUUUUCCGUGAACGAGGAAUUCCAAGUAAGUGCGAGUCAUCAACUCGCGUUGAUUACGUCCCUGCCCUUUGUACACACCGCCCGUCGCUGCCCGGGACUGAGCCGUUUCGAGAAACUUGGAGACCGCUGAUCUGGUAACUUCGAUUGCCAUUUUGGUGGGAACCAAUUUAA
Molecule: ribosomal RNA, 1170 nt
Filed under: metagenome
Description: SSU rRNA
Rfam family: Eukaryotic small subunit ribosomal RNA
Source: RNAcentral